This 643-nucleotide ribosomal RNA is filed under the name Russula olivacea. RNAcentral's name for it is "LSU rRNA". It matches the Rfam family "Eukaryotic large subunit ribosomal RNA", at positions 43 to 660 of the family's 3401-position model. The record is from RNAcentral. Lineage: Eukaryota; Fungi; Basidiomycota; Agaricomycetes; Russulales; Russulaceae.
UCAAUAAGCGGAGGAAAAGAAACUAACAAGGAUUCCCCUAGUAACUGCGAGUGAAGCGGGAAAAGCUCAAAUUUGAAAUCUGGUGGUCUUUGGCCAUCCGAGUUGUAAUUUAGAGAAGCGUCUUCCGCGCUGGACCGUGCACAAGUCUCCUGGGAUGGAGCGUCGUAGAGGGUGAGAAUCCCGUCUUUGGCACGGACACACCAGGGCUUUUGUGAUGCGCUCUCGAAGAGUCGAGUUGUUUGGGAAUGCAGCUCAAAAUGGGUGGUGAACUCCAUCUAAAGCUAAAUAUUGGCGAGAGACCGAUAGCGAACAAGUACCGUGAGGGAAAGAUGAAAAGCACUUUGGAAAGAGAGUGAAACAGUACGUGAAAUUGUUGAAAGGGAAACGCUUGAAGUCAGUCGCGUCGACCGAGACUCAGCCUUGCCUCGGCUCGGUGUACUUUUCGGCCGACGGGUCAGCAUCAAUUUUACCCCUUGGAUAAUGGCGAGGGAAAUGUGACACCUUUACGGUGUGUUAUAGUCUCUCGUCGCAUGCAAGGGUUGGGAUUGAGGAACUCAGCACGCGCCUUUGGGCGUCGGGGUCUUUGCCCACGAUACGUGCUUAGGAUGUUGGCGUAAUGGCUUUAAACGACCCGUCUUGAAAC